Molecule: RNA transcript, 1265 nt
Organism: Medicago truncatula (barrel medic)
Lineage: Eukaryota; Viridiplantae; Streptophyta; Magnoliopsida; Fabales; Fabaceae
Gene name: chitinase 2-like
Exons: 1
Source: RefSeq, a predicted model, not a curated record
UAGAGUUACUCAUUCCAAUCUAUCUAAACCCCAACAUAAAGAAAACACAAAAAACAAAGUAUAUAUUAAUUUCUCAUAUAUCGAUCCUCCAAAAUGUCAACAGCUCCUAUCAUCGGUGACAAUGAUGUGAAUCCAGUCAUUUUUAGAGAAUACAUUGGCGUGAAGUCCUACCCAGAUUCUUUAAAUAAUUUCCCAGCUGAUAUUAUCGGCCGCCACAUCCCUGAAUUCCAUUUCAUUUUGGGCUUUGCCCAUGAGACUUACGUCGAUGGAAAAGGCACCGGAAUUUUCAACGCCAGUUGGAAGAUUCCUUUCUUCGGUCCAGACAAUGUUGAUGAUAUCAAGACCAACCAUGGCAAUGUGAAGGUGGUAAUAAGCAUUGGAGGCCGUGAUACUAAAUAUCCAUUCCAUCCUGCACACAAACUCGAAUGGUGUGACAAUGCUGUCGAAUCCCUUAAAAAAAUCUUCCAAUUAUACAACAGAACCAACUCCUGCUACAAUUUAAUUGAUGGCAUUGAUAUCAACUAUGAGUACAUCCAUCCAGAUGUUAGUGAAGAAGAUUUCUCCUACUGCAUCGGGAACGUUAUAAAAAGACUCAAGAAAGAUGUAGGCAUCGAUGUGGUAUCCAUUGCUCCAUCGCAUGAAACCCAAAAACACUACAAGACACUCUACUUGGCUCGCACCAACGAUAUUAAUUGGGUUAACUACCAAUUCUAUAUCGAUACUCUCAAGUCAAAGGACGAGUUUGUGAACCUCUUUCUUAAUCUAUCAGAUGAAUACGGUUCUAAAAAACUUCUAGCGGGAGCCAGCACCGAUCCAGCUGACGCCGGUAAAGGUAAACUUUCACGAGAGGACUUCCUUGAGGGUUGUGUCGAUCUCCACAGCACUCAGUCACUUCGUGGCAUUUUCAUUUGGAAUGCCAAUGACUCCGCGUCAAACCCCAAUGGAAAACCAUUCUCCCUCGAGAAAAAAGCACAAGAGAUCCUCAAUAAUUAAAUCAUCAUAAUUAAUUACUAGCUAUAUAUAGCUGGUAAUUAAAAGUCAAAUUCACUAUAUAUCUAUUUUUAAUUAUUCGGGUCAUCCAUCAGACUAAUUGGUUAGGUCGUUUGUCCGAGCAAUAGUCUGUUACAUCUUCUAAAUAAUUAACACCCGAGAGUACUUUUAUUUUGUAUGUGUGUUUCGUGUGCCGCACAAAUUCCUUGUGUUCCUUGCAUCAGUGUUAUAUUUUAAUGAAUGAAUUUUGAUGUUUUUUAUUUUUAUUUACUUCA